Urocitellus parryii (Arctic ground squirrel) is the source of this 657-nucleotide long non-coding RNA. RefSeq lists it as uncharacterized. The record is from RefSeq and is a predicted model, not a curated record. Lineage: Eukaryota; Metazoa; Chordata; Mammalia; Rodentia; Sciuridae.
AUGCGCUGUGGCCGUGGCAGUUCCGCAGAGGACCAGCUAGGGUCCAAACCUUCCCGCCUGACACCCGGGAGGAGCUAACCGGCUCCAGCACACAGAACUGAGGUUUGGAGCUCCUGCUCCCUACUCUCCUGUGACAAGGUGGUGUCCAGGACAAGAGCUGAGAGACUGACCUGCAGCUGGGGAGGAGUCCUCCUCUAAAGAACAGGACUACCAGGGCCCUGGUGGACAGCAAGCCUGGGACAACUCAAGAUCCUCAUGUGGGUUCAGUUCCUGAGCAGGAGAGUGGGCUGCAGACUGAUUGUCCCCCUCCUUGGUCCUGCUGAAGUCACACAGACUUCAGGACCCCUUCCUCUGGGGUCCUGACCCCAGUGGUCCUUAUGAGGACCCAUCGUGCCUUAUGAGGCCUGUGCUGGCUCCAACUGGACACUGACUUUGGAGGUGGCAAAUACUGCUGGUGGGGAGAAGGUGGAGCAGGCGACCAGGCCCCCUGGAGUGCAGUAGUGGUUGGACAGGGCAGCUGUGGUGGCUUUGAGGUUGGCCCUGCAGGCUGAGUCGGGCUCUGCCCCUGCUGUGCUCUCAGUGGGACACUAAACCUUGGCUGCCUUUCUGGCCAGUUAAAUAAACCUGGAACUGGUAAAGUUUCAUAAUCAAUGUAAA